This 311-nucleotide ribosomal RNA is filed under the name Klebsiella pneumoniae. RNAcentral describes it as "bacterial SSU rRNA". It matches the Rfam family "Bacterial small subunit ribosomal RNA", at positions 308 to 611 of the family's 1533-position model. Lineage: Bacteria; Pseudomonadati; Pseudomonadota; Gammaproteobacteria; Enterobacterales; Enterobacteriaceae. The record is from RNAcentral.
CCACACUGGAACUGAGACACGGUCCAGACUCCUACGGGAGGCAGCAGUGGGGAAUAUUGCACAAUGGGCGCAAGCCUGAUGCAGCCAUGCCGCGUGUGUGAAGAAGGCCUUCGGGUUGUAAAGCACUUUCAGCGGGGAGGAAGGCGGUGAGGUUAAUAACCUCACCGAUUGACGUUACCCGCAGAAGAAGCACCGGCUAACUCCGUGCCAGCAGCCGCGGUAAUACGGAGGGUGCAAGCGUUAAUCGGAAUUACUGGGCGUAAAGCGCACGCAGGCGGUCUGUCAAGUCGGAUGUGAAAUCCCCGGGCUCA